UCUGACACAGGUGCUGCAUGGCUGUCGUCAGCUCGUGUCGUGAGAUGUUGGGUUAAGUCCGUAACGAGCGCAACCCUUGUCCUUAGUUACCAGCACGUUAUGGUGGGCACUCUAAGGAGACUGCCGGUGACAAACCGGAGGAAGGUGGGGAGUGACGUCAAGUCAUCAUGGCCCUUACGGCCUGGGCUACACACGUGCUACAAUGGUCGGUACAAAGGGUUGCCAAGCCGCGAGGUGGAGCUAAUCCCAUAAAACCGAAUCGUAGUCCGGAUCGCAGUCUGCAACUCGACUGCGUGAAGUCGGAAUCGCUAGUAAUCGUGAAUCAGAAUGUCACGGUGAAUACGUUCCCGGGCCUU
This 356-nucleotide ribosomal RNA is filed under the name uncultured Pseudomonas sp. Its description in RNAcentral is "bacterial SSU rRNA". It matches the Rfam family "Bacterial small subunit ribosomal RNA", at positions 1028 to 1382 of the family's 1533-position model. Lineage: Bacteria; Pseudomonadati; Pseudomonadota; Gammaproteobacteria; Pseudomonadales; Pseudomonadaceae. The record is from RNAcentral.